RNAcentral lists this transfer RNA (57 nucleotides) under Loxodonta africana (African savanna elephant). It matches the Rfam family "tRNA", at positions 8 to 63 of the family's 71-position model. Rfam says of the family: Transfer RNA (tRNA) molecules are approximately 80 nucleotides in length. Their secondary structure includes four short double-helical elements and three loops (D, anti-codon, and T loops). Lineage: Eukaryota; Metazoa; Chordata; Mammalia; Proboscidea; Elephantidae. The record is from Rfam by way of RNAcentral.
UGGCUUAGUGGUUAAGCGGUUGGCUGCUAACCAAAAGGUUGGUGGUUUGAACCCAGC